Molecule: ribosomal RNA, 465 nt
Filed under: Vreelandella stevensii
Lineage: Bacteria; Pseudomonadati; Pseudomonadota; Gammaproteobacteria; Oceanospirillales; Halomonadaceae
Description: partial 16S ribosomal RNA
Rfam family: Bacterial small subunit ribosomal RNA
Source: RNAcentral
CCUACGGGUGGCUGCAGUGGGGAAUAUUGGACAAUGGGGGGAACCCUGAUCCAGCCAUGCCGCGUGUGUGAAGAAGGCCCUCGGGUUGUAAAGCACUUUCAGUGAGGAAGAACGCCUGGUGGUUAAUACCCAUCAGGAAAGACAUCACUCACAGAAGAAGCACCGGCUAACUCCGUGCCAGCAGCCGCGGUAAUACGGAGGGUGCGAGCGUUAAUCGGAAUUACUGGGCGUAAAGCGCGCGUAGGUGGCUUGACAAGCCGGUUGUGAAAGCCCCGGGCUCAACCUGGGAACGGCAUCCGGAACUGUCAAGCUAGAGUGCAGGAGAGGAAGGUAGAAUUCCCGGUGUAGCGGUGAAAUGCGUAGAGAUCGGGAGGAAUACCAGUGGCGAAGGCGGCCUUCUGGACUGACACUGACACUGAGGUGCGAAAGCGUGGGUAGCAAACAGGAUUAGAUACCCUUGUAGUC